Xyrichtys novacula (pearly razorfish) is the source of this 1082-nucleotide non-coding RNA. Lineage: Eukaryota; Metazoa; Chordata; Actinopteri; Labriformes; Labridae. The record is from the annotation of a GenBank genome assembly.
AGCGAGGGUCCGGGGACCCGGAAGCGGCCUUCAAAAGAGGACCGAGGUGGUCUCAAUGAAAGUAGGUGUUGAGUAAAUUUGAUAUGAUUCAAUGAAAGGAUAUACCAUACUUACGUUUGUUAUCUUCAUUAUUAUUCUUUUGUUCCUCGUAUUGUUUUUCUGUUUUCUUUUUAGAUUAAUUGAUUAAUCUCUUACCAAAUUAAGGUAAAUUAAAUGAUCGAGGAUUAGGGGAUUAAGUCCUGCAAAAGCUACAACAAAACAAAAACAAGCAGUGUUGAAAUUUUCAACUGAGACCAUAUUCUGGCAUUGAAAGUUUGAUAUAACGCUGCAUUUAAUGAUUGAACUUUAGCUUUACAUAUUAUAUCAGUUAAAAAAAUUUACAGACUCCUGAUUUGUUUUAAUAUCUACCUUUUUUAUGCAGUAAAUGGCAGGGGAAACCGGGACUUGCUGACUCACUUUUUACACUCUUAUAUGUUUCUUGGAAUCAAUACAUCAUGUAAAAGCAAAAUGCGUACCAAAUGAAAGACCAAAGUCUCAGGUAUAUAUUUUCGUAUUCAUGUCAUUUUCAUAUCUUGUGUCAGUGCAGAGUUAUAAGCAAUCAAACAGAGAGUGUGAACAUGUGACAUGUUGCCCCCAUAGAAUGUGUAUAGAAUGGACAGCGUCUGCCUCCUCGCUGGGUGAAGCCACUCCGAGAACAGCACCCUCUGGUAACGGGCUGCAGUAUAGGUCACGAAUCCCACCUCCGCCUCCGCCAGCAAAACUUAUGGGGAUGUGGACAAACUUUAGAAAUUUAUGACACAGAAUAUACAAUUUUCUCCCCCCUGCUUACGAUGUUGACAUGUAGUUACUGUAAGAGUGGUUUGUGCUCAAGUCUUCUUUUGUCUGUACAGCUCUAUUUUUAAAAGUUAUUAGGGGGUUCAUGUUUUCUAUGAUUGACACCUGAUACAGCCUAUGGGCAUACGAAGAUUGCGUAGCUCACGCAGGGGAUACGCUGUUUGAGCCGAGCGUCAUCACAGCGACUCUCGGUGACUCUCCCGCCGAAUACGUACAAUGCUACCGCGCAAGUGGUGGUUUCAGGAAAU